This 699-nucleotide ribosomal RNA is filed under the name uncultured bacterium. Its description in RNAcentral is "bacterial SSU rRNA". It matches the Rfam family "Bacterial small subunit ribosomal RNA", at positions 62 to 757 of the family's 1533-position model. The record is from RNAcentral.
UCGAACGGAGCGCGUGAGAGCGAACAUUUCGGUGGGAGCAUUCGCGCAGCUUAGUGGCGGACGGGUGAGUAACGCGUGGACAAUCUGCCGCGCACAGGGGAAUAACAGCCGGAAACGGCUGCUAAUGCCGCAUAUGCGCGCAGCGUCGCAUGACGCAGCGCGGAAAGCAAUUUGCGGUGCGCGAUGAGUCCGCGUCCGAUUAGGCAGUUGGCGGGGUAAUGGCCCACCAAACCGACGAUCGGUAGCCGGCCUGAGAGGGCGGACGGCCACACUGGGACUGAGACACGGCCCAGACUCCUGCGGGAGGCAGCAGUGGGGAAUAUUGCACAAUGGGGGAAACCCUGAUGCAGCGACGCCGCGUGAAGGAAGAAGUAUCUCGGUAUGUAAACUUCUAUCGGCAGGGAAGAAAACGGACGGUACCUGACUAAGAAGCCCCGGCUAACUACGUGCCAGCAGCCGCGGUAAUACGUAGGGGGCGAGCGUUAUCCGGAUUUACUGGGUGUAAAGGGAGCGUAGACGGCUGGGCAAGCCUGAUGUGAAAGGCGGGGGCGCAACCCUCGGACUGCAUUCGCAACUGUCCGGCUGGAGCGCCGGAGGGGUAAGCGGAAUUCCUGGUGUAGCGGUGAAAUGCGUAGAUAUCAGGAAGAACACCGGUGGCGAAGGCGGCUUACUGGACGGCGACUGACGUUGAUGCUCGAA